CCGGAUUCUGUAGCCCAGACAGGCGGCCCGGGCGGCGUCGCGUGCAGGGACACGCCCAGCGGGAGUCGCCGGUGGGGCGGAGGAAGCCCGGGCCCCUGGUCUCGGGGGCCGAGUCGGAGCGGAGCUGUUCCUCGGGGAGACAGAAAGUCGCCCUCUUGGGGCAGCUCGUCCCAAAGGGUUUCCUUGAAAGAAUCCGAGAGCGCAGUUCCUGACCGAGGAAAUCUCUGUUGAGCUCUGGAAGCCGCCCCCCGAAAAAGAUGCCGGCCUUCCACAGUUUGUUUCCCCUGGUUUCUCUCGUGCUCAUCUACUGGGUCAGCGUCUGCUUCCCUGUGUGUGUGGAGGUGCCCUCGGAGACAGAGGCCGUCCAGGGCAACCCCAUGAAGCUGCGCUGCAUCUCCUGCAUGAAGAGGGAGGAGGUGGAGGCCACCACUGUGGUGGAGUGGUUCUACAGACCCGAGGGCGGUAAAGACUUCCUUAUCUUCGAGUACCGCAAUGGCCACCAGGAGGUGGAGAGCCCCUUCCAGGGUCGCCUGCAGUGGAACGGGAGCAAGGACCUACAGGACGUGUCUAUCACUGUGCUCAACGUCACUCUGAAUGACUCCGGCCUCUACACCUGCAACGUGUCCCGGGAGUUUGAGUUUGAGGCACAUCGGCCCUUCGUGAAGACCACACGGCUGAUCCCUCUCCGAGUCACUGAGGAGGCCGAAGAAGACUUCACCUCGGUGGUCUCGGAAAUCAUGAUGUAUAUCCUUCUAGUCUUCCUCACCUUGUGGCUGCUCAUUGAGAUGAUAUAUUGCUACCGAAAGGUCUCAAAGGCUGAAGAGGCAGCCCAAGAAAAUGCGUCUGACUACCUUGCCAUCCCAUCAGAGAACAAGGAGAACUCUGCAGUACCCGUGGAGGAGUGAGGCGCCGUGACCUGAGGUCCAUUUCUACUCUGCUCAGUGUGCCCGCCCUCAAGGUGGCCUGCACACGGAGGGACUGGCUAUCUCAAGUUCAGUGAUGUCAACAGCAUCAGGAGGGUCCCCCAGUGGCCCCAUCACUUCCUUCCUGCAUCAUCUUUCUACACAGCCAUCACGCAUCCACCCACCUCUAAGCUUUCCCUGCUGACUUCUUGACUCUAUCAGAACUCUACACACCGUAAGACUUGGCCAGAACUAAGGAGCCAACAUUUCUACACAGAUUCAGCCUCACCCUGGCCUGGCUUUCAAAGCAAGCAGCUCCCAUGCCUACUGGAUUUCUCCUCUAUACUCCAAGUAGACGCUGUACAAGUGCCGGCAGUAGCUAGCUCGUUGGAAUUGGCUCAUUCUCCAUUACUGCAAGAGAAUGUCUUACUAGUGGGAACAAGCAAUUAGCUGAGUCACACCAAAAGCAUGUCAUGUAAUUGAACUCUUUGAAGUCAGUUUUUUUCAAGUUCCUUGGCCCACGAGCUAGAGCACCAGAGAAAGCUUGCUUCUCUAGAUUCUCCAGUGACACAGAUCCUUAAGUGCAGACUGACAUGCUCUCUGGAGCUUAGGACGAGAUCCCCAUAGGCCUCUGAGGCCUGCAUUGGAUGCAGUCUGGAGAAGCAAGGGCAAGAGACUUGGGAAGGACCAAGGACAAUUUCAGUGACUCAAAAAAGCCAUACGUGUUCCUGAUCGUAUUGGGAUGAUGUGUGUGUGUCCUUCCUAGAGCACAUAUUGCCUGUGGUCUGGGACUGGAAUUCCUAAAUUCUUCCUUUCAAAAUAUCUGUUGUUCAGUAUUAUUCUGCGUUUUACGGGAGGCAUCUGAGACUCACACAGGGCUCAACUGGGUAAGAAACUUAAGUGAACAAAGGGGAGCAGUGAUAGGCUCUGGGUGCGGCCCAGUUUGCUCCCUGAGUUUAGGGAUUUGUUUUGGAAAAGACUUUGACCUUGAGCUUGGCUGUGGCCACUCCUCGAGCAGAAGCACAAAUGUGGGGAGAGUGAUCCAACUGGGUAUAACGGUGACAAGUCCCAGGAACCAGAAGCUGGCCAAGAGAGCAGAGAGGAGGAUGAAAGGUAGACGUGAAGAGUUUCCUAUUAAAGUCUGUGAACCUGAAAUGUCUUUCAGAACCAGAUGACACCAUUCAAACCGAGAGCAGUGCCUGCGAAGCUGGGUGGGUCGGCACAUGUGUACAGCAUGAGAGGCAGUGGGGGUGCGUCAUGAGCCCGGCCUGGGAAGAUGAGCAACUCAGAGACAACCUGUCUCAAAUUUUUAAAAAACAAAAAAGGCUAGGGAUUAGGGAUGGAGCUCAGUGCAAAUCCCUAGGAGAAGAGACAGACAGAUAGAAAGAAAGGUUUUUUAGUCUGAGGUAGAUGGUGAGCAGAGUUAAGGGAGAAAGAUCGUGGCUUCUAAAUACCUUGCCUAUGAAUCUGUAAUGGUCACAGGUGUUUGUUUGUUUUCCUCCUAGGUUUAGAGAGAACAGAGAAACAAUGAAAAAAUUUUGGUGACAUUUUCAUUUUAAUUAAAGACUGGGCCAAGUACAGUAUCCUUCAGCACCUAAUGAUAAGUAAAAAUAGGAAGAUAAACGGACUAGGAUUCAAUAAAAGGAACGUUCCUCAGAUCUGGGGAAAAGUAUGGGGACGAUGGCUCUAUGUUGGCUUCGGAUUCCACCUGACAGGUUCAUUUUUCUGCAUCUCUUCCAUCUCUGGGGCCAUGUUUGAAACAAGAUCCUUAACAGCUUUUGAAGAAUUCCAUUUUCUUAAAAAAAUAUUUGCCGUAAAUUCAAGACUUCUUGUUCGGAAUUUUCCAUACUGUUCUUCUGAAAUAGGGGAGGAAAUAUGGGGCAUUUUUCUGACUUUAAAGAACACAGGCCUGAGUUAGUGGGAGGCUUCCCCAGCCGCCAGGCUGGCUGAUGCCCAGCUUGCAGAAGUAGCAAGUGGAUGACACCCCUAAUGCAUAACCAUAGAGUAUGCAUGGAUGGUUUUUUUCUUUUCUUUUUAAAUAAGCUAACUCAGAUGUUUUCUGGGUUAUUUUUAAUGAAGCUGGAUGAUGCUGGUGAUUUAUCCUUUACAAAUCAUCUUCUCUCUUCUCUUCUUUUUUCUAACUUUUCAUCUCUUCUCAUCCUGAUGUUUUCAUUACAGCUAUAGGACUUGCAAAGGAUUUUCAUGUCAGUUGUUUCAUUUCUCCUCCACAGCUGAUCUAGUGAAGUGAGCUUUAUUAACACCCAGUGAAGAAAUGGAGGCUCUCUGACAUGAGGAAGCUUUAUCAAAUUACCACCAGAUCAGCAGAGAGCUAGAAUAUGGGUCUUCUGACUUCUAUUCCAGUAUCUUCCCACAUAGACCAUAUCUGCUUCCUUUCUUAAUUUUCCUCCACCUCUUCACUUCUGUUGCUUCUUUGAUGUUCACAAUCCUCUCUCAGCUCCCACUUUCUUCCUUCUCAACCCUUUUGCUUCUUGGUGGAUGCUAGAAAUGUGCAUCCUAUUCUAGUUCUUUUUCAUCAUUAUUUCUCCAGAAACACAAUUAAACUCCUCGCUGGGAGGCUUGGUCAUGACUCUAAAUGCACAGGGUGCUGUGAUCACCAGCUUACUUAAAAUCCCUGCCCACCUUGCUUCUCCCCAUAACCAAGACAAGACCCGGGCUAAACACGUGUAGCACUGGAAGCUUUACCUGGUGUGCUGUUGCUUAUUAAAGGGCUUAGAAGAGUUCUCAAGGGCUAUACUCACUUUGGAAACCCCAUCUGUUGUCUUGGUGCUGUGUAUUUCCCAUGACGGAUGCUCAGUAAUGCAGUUCACUAACAGCCAAGCUAUGCUGGGUCUGAUUUUCCCUAUCUUGCUGCUAACAGCUAUGAGCUUGAUCACUUGACUCAGUGGUCCUGAAAGCACCUUGCCCUUCUGACCUUGCUGUCAGCUCAGUCUCAAAGGAAAGCCCCAAGCCUGUGUGGAAAUCCUUGGACAACCAGUGCCUGUUCCUACCCAGCCUUCAUCUUCAUGGUCUGCUGAACAGCAUUAUGCUUUGGUUUCUCCGUUCCCAAACAUCUAGACCUUCGUUGAGGCUGUUUGCUCCUUAGAUGUCAAACCAGAGAUAUUAGCAGGAAAGGAGUUUUUCAAAGCAGGAAUAUACUGGGAAUGUGUCGUGAAUGGUUUCAAAGGAGACCGUAAUGCCCUCUUCUCCCAACUACUACAGCAAAAUGCAAACUAUGAGCUAGGUGUGCUGGCUACUAGAGAAUAAAGCAGGUGGGCCUCUUGCGCCCAUGAACUUGAAACCAACCUGGAUAGUGAGGCUCCAUCACACAUGCACACACUACACUUUUCUUAAAAUCUGUGAAUUCACUUAACAUAAAUCGAAGGGAAAGGCUGUGUGAUUGUAUCUUUACAGUGUGAAAGAAAAACAUGAGCCAUGUCAGGCGUAGUAGUGUAUAUAUGUAAUCCCAGUGCUUGGGAGGCUAAGGCAGGAGGACUGCCAUGAGUUUGAGGCCAGCUUGGGCUAUAUAGUGAGUUAAGUCCAGGCUGAACUACAUAGUGAGACCCUGUCUCAAGAAAGAAGACCAAAGAAAAGAGCUAGAUAUAUUUGAAAUAUACCUUCUUUCCCUCUUCCCAAUUUUGCAUGAAAAUGGAAAAACAGGUUAACAGGAGGAAAAAAGCCUUCCCCUCACCUUUUUGUAAAUGACAAAGCCUGAACUCAGUGAACUCACCUGAUGUCCACAAGUGUAUCUGUCUGAUUAAUUCUCGGUGUGCUUGCUUAUCCACCUGAUGGUUCACUUUCCAAACGUCUUGCAGCACACCUAGAAACCACGUGGCCCCCAUGAUCUUAUGCCUGAAAAAUGGCAUCACUCAGUCCUCCGUCCCUAAAAGCUAACACGGUGGACAUGUAGUUUAGCUCAGCCCGUUUCCUCUGCCUGGAGUGUGUUAUGAUUCCAACUCUGGUCUCUUUGUAGGCCAGCUAAACACCAGAGCCAGUACUGCUCUGUCUUUUCUCUUCCCACCAGGCCAGAGCUGCAACGCCUGGGCAGUAUGUGUAAAAGGCAGGCAGACAGAAGAAUUUGUGCUUAUGAAAUGAAAUGCCACCAACCACUUAGCAAAUGCCUAGUCUUGUGACAGAUGGAACAAUGUCACCUUCACAUUGCAUUUUCGUGAUCUUCUACAGCCAGUCUUUUAUUGAACUAUAGAAAUGCUCUUCCUGACCACCCAAGACCUCCACAGCCUAAUACCUGUAUGUACUGUUUUUCAGUAAAUCCCUAGUUCCUGUCAAUAAAGUGUCUCUAAAAACCA
Cavia porcellus (domestic guinea pig) is the source of this 5206-nucleotide RNA transcript. It is a transcript of the gene named sodium voltage-gated channel beta subunit 3, with no coding region annotated. NCBI's taxonomy places the organism in Eukaryota, Metazoa, Chordata, Mammalia, Rodentia, Caviidae. The record is from RefSeq and is a predicted model, not a curated record. The transcript has 8 exons.